AAUUAGUAUAGUUGAAGUGGUUAAAUAAACAAAGCAAAAACAAAUCCCUAAAACUAAGAUUUUAAAACUGUAAAUUUUCCAACUUGCUAGAUAUUAUGAGAACUCAAAUCUUGUGAGAACCACUCCUAUAUUUAUUUAUUUUUUUUUUAAUGAAGAAAGAAACAGAAAUAACAAAACUCUAUCAUCGACAUCUUAUUUGGGAAAAUAUUUUCUCUCUCUUUCUCCCUUUUUCUUCUUUCUCUCUCCUUCACGCCAGUCCUUCCAUUGAAGAAGGCCCAUAUAUUACGACAUUUUCACAGCUGUUCAUAUCAAUGGAAGAUAUCAAGAUUAUGAGCUUCGAAGGGGGGAGAGAGACUGGGAAUCAACUGAAAAAGCUUUGAGGAGAGAGAAAAAUAUCAUACAGUAGAUUGAAAUGGAGUAAUAAAUAAGGUGCUUGGACACGUAACAACAUAUGGGAGAUGGCUGUCCCUACAAGGAUGGGGGCUUGAGAGAACAUGUAGGUGAUGCAAAAUAAGACGAGGCAGGCAAUGAAGACAAGCAAGGUUCAAUUAGAGAUGCAGGUCUCUAGACAAUAUAUCAUGGAUAAGUCUCAUUUACCAUAUGAACAAAUUCUGUUGUGCCUUUUUCUCCCCAACUGUAUACUGUGAUCAACAUAAUGCAAAAUGUUUGGUCUGAAUCA
Long non-coding RNA from Chenopodium quinoa (quinoa), 679 nucleotides. RefSeq lists it as uncharacterized. Lineage: Eukaryota; Viridiplantae; Streptophyta; Magnoliopsida; Caryophyllales; Amaranthaceae. The transcript has 3 exons. The record is from RefSeq and is a predicted model, not a curated record.